Molecule: small nuclear RNA, 106 nt
Filed under: Microcebus murinus (gray mouse lemur)
Lineage: Eukaryota; Metazoa; Chordata; Mammalia; Primates; Cheirogaleidae
Source: RNAcentral
GUGCUUGCUUCGGCAGCACAUAUACUAAAAUUGGACGCUACAGAGAAGGUUAGCACGGUCCCUGGGCAAGAAUGACACACAAAUUUCUGAUGGGUCCAAUAUUACA